RNAcentral lists this ribosomal RNA (374 nucleotides) under uncultured bacterium. RNAcentral's name for it is "bacterial SSU rRNA". It matches the Rfam family "Bacterial small subunit ribosomal RNA", at positions 524 to 898 of the family's 1533-position model. The record is from RNAcentral.
UACGAAGGGGGCUAGCGUUGUUCGGAAUUACUGGGCGUAAAGCGCGCGCAGGCGGCCUUUCAAGUCAGGGGUGAAAGCCCAGAGCUCAACUCUGGAACUGCCCUUGAAACUGCAAGGCUGGAGUACGGUAGAGGUGAGUGGAAUUCCCAGUGUAGAGGUGAAAUUCGUAGAUAUUGGGAAGAACACCGGUGGCGAAGGCGGCUCACUGGACCGUUUCUGACGCUCAUGCGCGACAGCGUGGGGAUCAAACAGGAUUAGAUACCCUGGUAGUCCACGCCGUAAACUAUGGACGCUAGCCGUUGGCAGGCUUGCCUGUCAGUGGCGCAGCUAACGCAUUAAGCGUCCCGCCUGGGGAGUACGGCCGCAAGGUUGAA